RNAcentral lists this long non-coding RNA (312 nucleotides) under Elaeis guineensis (African oil palm). RNAcentral's name for it is "long non-coding RNA (EGUI_LNC068007)". Lineage: Eukaryota; Viridiplantae; Streptophyta; Magnoliopsida; Arecales; Arecaceae. The record is from RNAcentral.
UAAUUCAUCCUUUUGACCCCUGUGUUUAGGACGACUCAGGGUUAAACUGUCAACCCUGAUUAGAUCAUCCGAAUCAUGCUCAACUCAAACAGUCCUGUGACUCCUCACAAGGACUACCCUGGCCAAGAUUUUGCUAAAUUAAAAUACGACUGUACACAGCUCCUAAACUGGAGUGGUCAAUUUCAUCUUGACACACGCACCGACAAGUCAAGUACUUGACUACACCCAGCAGCCUUCCGUCACUGAAUUAAAAAUUCAGGUAGUCCAGUGCCUAAGUGCAGUGAGUAGCUUGCAAGUCAUCAUGGCGAUCUC